Molecule: long non-coding RNA, 5682 nt
Organism: Columba livia (rock pigeon)
Lineage: Eukaryota; Metazoa; Chordata; Aves; Columbiformes; Columbidae
Exons: 2
Source: RefSeq, a predicted model, not a curated record
GAGAAGCAACUUGUUGGGGGUGAGGGUGGCAGAGCCUGGCCCAGGCUGCCCAGGGAGGUUGUGGAGUCUCCUUCUGUGCAGACAUUCCAACCCGCCUGGACACCUUCCUGUGUAACCUCAUCUGGGUGUUCCUGCUCCAUGGGGGGGAUUGGACUAGAUGAUCUUUUGAGGUCCUUUCCAAUCCCAAACAUACUGUGAUACUGUGAAAUUUACCCCAAAGCUGGCUGGCCUUUCUUUCUCUUACUUUUACCUUGCUUAUUUUCUCCAGCAAGCCCAACUUUUAGCCGCUGAAAUAUGUGUUAUUUGGAAGAAAUGUAAGUGAAAGUCAUUUUAUUAGAUCCUAAUCUUGUUACGUGUAGUUGCUCAUUUUUCUCCCUCCUGCAGCUAUGGGAGGUGAUUGCCUAUCCAGUUAUCUGUCCUGUUCAGUAUUUCCGCAGCAUUUUCUUCUCUGUUUGAAAUAUUCAGGUUUGUGAUGACUCAGGAAGGUGACGAUGAGGAAGCCAUACCCACGUGUUUCUUUACAUGUGCAACAGCACAUCUGAUAUUACGUGACUUUAGGUAUUUUAAGGUGAAUGCUGGAACCAAAUACGUCUUUUUCAAGGGUUUAUGAGGUGAUAGUGUGUUUAUUCAUAACAGGAAUUUGUGCUACACCACAUUUAGCAAUAUCUGUAAAUGCUGUUGAUCCGUAUUUUAUCCUGUGCUGGUGGGAAGGAUAAUGGCCUUAGCGGUCAUGACAUUGUCAAAGCUAAAUAAUGAAUUUCAGUGCCUUUUUUUGUACAUUUUCAGCAAAUUACUGCUGAACACCUGCCAAAGGGAAUACUUUUCGCAUUUUUGCUGCUUCACUGCUGUGCGUGUGUAAUUUGGCAAGCGUAACAAGUUCUCCGGUGACCUGCACUAAAAUGUUAAUGGUAGGAUGGGAUCUGAGUGGCGAACUGGGACCAGUAACUGGAGCUGGAGUUUUAUUCCUGGCUUGGUCACCUGUAUGAAUAUGAACCUGCCCUGCUGAUUAUUCGGCUCUAGAUCAAAUGGUGCUCAUGAUCCAAAGGUGGUGUCACAACGAGACGGUGUGAGAUGCACUAAAUAAGCUUUCUGGGUUAAUUUUCUCCCUGACACACGUAUUACACUGUGCUUUACAAAUGUACUGUUGUAUUCUGAUUUUUCCAAGUGGGCAGAAGAUAAACAUUACUGAGUUCUGUAAGGAUGCAGACAACCCUAGAUUGAUGCUCCCGUGCCCUGGAGAGCCAACAUGGGACCUGCGCUACCUAUUUUUCCCCUUCUUCCAACAGAGAUUGCUUUCCAGCCCAAAUUAAAAUGGGCUGGUGGAAGAGUGAGAUGCGCUUUAUAGUUCCCUCAGCUGUGCUGUGUUUGCCUCAUUGAUAUUGUAAACUGAGAUCCGCUGCCUUUCAACAGCGCUAAAUUAAUUUGAAAGAAAAGUAAUUUUCUAGUAACGUGGUGGGUGCAGUAGGCAUGCAAACAAAAAAGAGCCAGGUUGAAUUUUCACGCUUUUAUGGAUGGAUGUGGGUUUUCUGUGACUGUUUCGCUAGUGCUGUGCUGAGCAGAGACUGUUUGCUCUCUCUGCAAUGUUUUGCAGCUCCUAAUGUGCUCUGGGUCGUGGUGACUCCUCGUGGCCCAUCGGUUUGCAAAGCCAAGCUCUCAAAAGCUGGAACUGGCAGAGCUGGGGGCGUUUGUGCCGCUUUCAUUUGGUCACCCCCUGUCUGGGCCUUGGAUUAUAGAGUUACGUGUUUUAUUUCUCUUUCUGCAAGAACUUGGCCUGGUUUGUCUUCAAAGAUAGAUCACGCACUCCUCUGAAAACUCUAAAAUUAGUGAGAAGGACCUUUGUUCCUUUGAUAUUUAACAAACAGGAGUCACCUUUUCUGAGAUGUGGUUCAGUGUGUGGGUUAAGGCAGCUCAGUUCGGGUGUUUCCCUGUGAACCGGGCGCUUCAGGCCAGUGGAGAUGUGGGCAGUGGAGCCCCGAGAGGGAUCCGGCUCCUAGGAUCAUAGCAUGAUCUCAGUUGGAAGAGACCCUCAGAAUCAUCGAGUCUGACCAUAACCUAACUCUAGCACCAAACCAUAUCCCUAAGAAUCAUUGAGUCCAACCAUAACCCACCCCUGGCACUGCCCCACGUCCUGAGAACCUCAUCUAUGUGUAUUUUAAACCCCUCCAGGGAUGGUGACUCCACCACUGCCUUGGGCAGCCUGUUCCAAUGCCCCACAGCCCAUUCCAGGAAGAAUUUUUUCCUAAUAUCCAAUCUAAACCUCCCCUGGUGCAACUUGAGGCUGAUUCCUCUUGUCCUGUCACUUGCUACUUGGGAGAAUAGACCAACACCCUCAUGCUGAAGCAGGAACCGAUGCUGGGGUUGGCUCCUGACCAGGCACAGGAGACGAGAACGUCAGUUCAGUGUAGGUGUUUGUAUCCAGGAGCUGCACUGAGAGUCUUGGCUCCAAUUCAGGCUCAGGCCAGAAGUAUUUUCUUCUUCAUCUCUGACUUCCAAGUAGCAAGAGAUAGGACAAGAAUGGCCUCAAGUUGCGCCAGGGGAGGUUGAGGUUGGAUUUGGGGAACAAUUUCUUCCCCAAAGGGCUGUGGGGCAUUGGAACAGGCUGCCCAGGGCAGUGCUGGAGUCACCAGCCCUGGAGGGUUGGACAGAUGGACAUGAGGUUCUCAGGGACAUGGGGCAGGGACAGGGGUGGGGGAACGGUUGGACUCCAUGGUCUUGAGGGUCUCUUCCAACCAAAUGAUUCUGUGAUUUCUGACUCCUUGAGCUUGUGCUGGUUUUUGCUGCAUUGUCACUUUUUCCAAGAUACUCCAGUUUCUUCCAGCGUUGGUUCUUGUUCCCAUUCUCCUUUCCGGGUCUUUGCUUCACCCCACCUCUAGGAAGACACAAGUGGUCACUCACCUUUGGUCGUACUCUUCUGUAUCCUCUCUGGUGUAUUCGUCUUGUCAAAAGCCAAGUUGGGCCAUUUGUGGGGGUCGUAGCCAUGAUAGGAAACACUUGGCUUCAAUACUUGGCAGGAACUUGCUCCUUGGGACCAACUGGAGCUGCGAGGGAUCAAGGCAGUUUUAAGCUACUGUAGCAGCUAAAAGCUGAAAGACUUUUCCAAAGCCCGGUCACUGUUAAAAGUUAAAUAGCUGUUGGCACCUUACACUGUGGUGGAGCUGCAAUGGACGGCACAUGGAGCAAGAGAAAUGGCACCGUCAGUUCGUGUCAUCUGCAAAAAGCUUCUUCCUGAGCGCGUGGUUUUACAAGCACGGAGAAAACAGGCGCAUGUAUGUUUGUGUAGAACUUUUUUAGAGAUUAUAUUGCAGCUUUAUGGAUGAGGGAGUUGCUUUGGUGAGAGAAGAAGAUGAGCUAAACCGCAGCUUUUCGCUGGCAGUUUUGGCUGAUGACUGCUUUUUAUUAGCUCGGUUUAUAAUUUUAUUGACACAAUUUCUUUGUUUCCUCAAAGCAGCAAUCAAGCUGUUCUUCCUUCCUCAAGCUAAAUGUUUAUACCGGAGUGUCAGAUGGGGACAAGAUGAAUCCUGUUGAUGUAGGUGCGGAAACUACAAAGCCAGGUCUUUACUGGACACUGUCUUUAUUCAACAAUAACUUCCAGGGCGGUUUCCCUGAACUAAAUAGUGCAGCAAAGAUGUGAGAAUCCAAGGGCAAAUCUUGGGCAUCUCCUGGUGGAAGUUGGAUAACAGCCUUUGUUUCGGUGUCGCCGCCGUGACGUGGUUUGUUGUGCAUGGGAUGUGUUAUCUGCCUCCUUGCACUUGGAUGAGAAGAGAAAGGGACGUAGAAGAAAACCUGUCCUGUGGGAACAGCCGAUAUCGAUUGCCUGGUUCAGCUGGAAUUUAACUAAAGGUCAAAUAAAAUUGUGCUGGAAUCCACAGAAGGGAUGGCUGAAAUGGGACUAAGAGCUACUUCUUUUUAGAUUUUUAUAUUGCUUGGUGAAAAGACACCGGAAAAUUGACCAAAAUGAAAUAUUAAGCAAACGCAGCCUGCAGCUUGCUGCUUUUCUCCCCUUGAAAUACUGGGCGGGUUGAGCCACAACGCUGCACAGAAUUGAUGCUUAAAGCAACGUGCAGGACUCUGUAUUUAGUGUUUAUCCUGAAUUACUGGACAGAAAUCCCCAAAUUGUUACUGAGAAAUGCGUUUGAUUCUUUCUGAAACUUUAUAGCUUAAAGUGUCUCCAAUUUUCUCUCACUGUGCUGAGCGUAUUUUGUUUCCAAGCUUUUCUUUUGCACCAUAGGCUGACAAACGGCUUUGAAAAUAAUACAGUUUGGGGUUGAUAACCCUCAUGCGUGGGUUCUUUUCUUCACUUCAGAAGUGACCUGUGUGGUUUGGGUAGUACAUGAGGGCAUGUAAUUCCUUAUAAGCUAUUUUAUUUUCUUAAAAGGAGAGGAGCUGGGUUUGGCAUGGGAAUCUUACCCUAUUUUUAUAGCGAACCCACAACCUCGUAGCACCUUCAACCAACCCAUCAUUCCAUCUGCGUGCGGCUCAUCCAUCCGCUUGUCUUGGCUGCUGGAAACUCAAGCUGGUGGUGCCUUGGACUGGCUGCAUCUUCCACACAUAAGAUAGAUUGGUUUAGUGUUAGUAUUUUUUUCUGGCAUCAUAUAUUAGUCUGCAAUUUCUGGUGUCUGGCUCGUGGUGAAGGCAAGAGUGUACACUCCGCAUCUAAUAGGUUGAGUAUGGGCUUAAGACGUGGACAUCUUACAAGCACCCCAUGUUUUUUCUUUAUUUAGACAUCUUGGAAAAAGUUGCAUUUUGCUGCUUUGUUGGACCUCAGUUCUCUUUAUUAGGAUAAGAGGUUUGGGUUUCUUUACCUGCUAAAAUCCCGAACCACCUCCCUCUUUAUGGACAGUGAGUAUAGAGAGAUUCUUUUUUCCAUAGGACGCGUUUUCAUCUUAGGGCAGAUGAACUCCUUUCCUCUAGCUGCUUGAAACGGGAUAAUAUUUCAGCAAAACGUCUAAGUUGUAGUUUUCUUUUAACCAUUUGACAUAUAUAUGUAACUUUACCCGGAUUUCCAACAAUAAGGUCCUUCUCCAAAGCUUUUUCAAAGAUUGUGGGAAUAAGAGCAAAGACUUUACAUGCAUAAAUAAUUGAAAUAAAUUAGGAGAGGGAAUAAAUUAUCAACUUAAUACAACAGAAAACAGGUGUCCCAGAGGCGUCUGUGCUGGAAUAGGUGGUCUUGACCAUGCGGUUGUGCGUGGUGAAGGGGCAGGUGAAAAUCAACGUAGAUACAGAGUGAUGUGGAUAAGAAAGAUUUGUCCUUAUUUUCCUACAGGACUGUGAUCUCCAAGUUGGCUGAUGCUGCUCAGGAACAAGAUUUUCAAGUUACAGUAGAUAACUGUGAGAAACACAGACUCGAUGCUUGGUGUUAGUUAAAAGACCCAACUCAGUGUGAGGGGUUAUAAUGAGGGAAAUAGGGAGCAAACUGGCAAAUAUUGCUAUGCUGCCAUGUAAUUCAGCAGUGCCUUCACAGCUUGAACCUCUGUUCAGUUCUUCCUUUUAAAAAUAAGUGAGGGAAGAAGGAAAAUUGAACUGUGGAACCAGAGAAAAGUAUUUGAGGGUGAUAUAACAGAGAUUUAUGAAAUUCUGAGCAACAUGGAGAAGACAGAAGAAGGAUAAACGUUGUUUGUUUUCUAAAGCACAAGAAUUGGAGCUGUCAGAUAAAAUGGGGAUUAAACAUGAAGGAGGCGUUUC